RNAcentral lists this transfer RNA (72 nucleotides) under Dipodomys ordii (Ord's kangaroo rat). It matches the Rfam family "tRNA". From Rfam's summary of the family: Transfer RNA (tRNA) molecules are approximately 80 nucleotides in length. Their secondary structure includes four short double-helical elements and three loops (D, anti-codon, and T loops). The record is from Rfam by way of RNAcentral. Lineage: Eukaryota; Metazoa; Chordata; Mammalia; Rodentia; Heteromyidae.
GGGAAGGUAGCUCAGUGGGAGAGUGCUUGCCUUGCAUGCAUGAGGCCCUGAAUUCGAUUCCUCAGCACCCCA